UGAAGAGAUCUUUCUACCACACAUGUAGUUUAUAAUCAGUUACUUCAUACAUCUCGGGAAGGUCUGAGUAGAGGUCGGGUGUGCCCUGGUCACGAUAAACCUUUCAGCGAGAGACGUCGCCCACAGCGAUGGCAGGGAAACCAGAAACUCCGGCAAUGGCUAGUCGAGGAUUCUUACUAGAUGAGACAUAACCCCGUCGUCGAUGAAAGUUCCUGUGACCGGCAGUUUUAGCUUAAUCUGUGACACGACUCGUUCGUAACUCAAUUCAGACUAUUUUCA
Molecule: RNase P RNA, 279 nt
Filed under: Melitaea cinxia (Glanville fritillary)
Lineage: Eukaryota; Metazoa; Arthropoda; Insecta; Lepidoptera; Nymphalidae
Description: misc RNA ENSMCXG00005022857.1
Rfam family: Nuclear RNase P
About the family: Ribonuclease P (RNase P) is a ubiquitous endoribonuclease, found in archaea, bacteria and eukarya as well as chloroplasts and mitochondria. Its best characterised activity is the generation of mature 5'-ends of tRNAs by cleaving the 5'-leader elements of precursor-tRNAs.
Source: RNAcentral